RNAcentral lists this transfer RNA (72 nucleotides) under Marmota monax (woodchuck). RNAcentral describes it as "tRNA.Ala". Lineage: Eukaryota; Metazoa; Chordata; Mammalia; Rodentia; Sciuridae. The record is from RNAcentral.
GGGGAUGUAGCUCAAGGGUCAAGUGUUCACCUAGCAUGUGCAAGGUCCUGGUUUCAAUCCCUAGCAUCACAA